Molecule: unclassified non-coding RNA, 304 nt
Filed under: fungal sp.
Lineage: Eukaryota; Fungi
Description: partial internal transcribed spacer region
Rfam family: Eukaryotic small subunit ribosomal RNA (bases 1-45)
Source: RNAcentral
AGUCGUAACAAGGUAUCCGUAGGUGAACCUGCGGAUGGAUCAUUAACACACACAUACACGUCAUUUUCUAGUUGAAAGUUAGACACGCAAGUGUCCUAGCUUCUCAAUUAGAAAAUACGCCCUAUAGAGAAUUUGUUAAAGUCCUUUAACAAAACAUAACAAACUACAUAACCGUUUUAUCUAAUUAAUAAAAGAAGAACCAAAAAAAAUGACGUGCCUAUGUGCAUUGAAUUUUUUUUUAAUUCUUCCUUUAUAAACAUUAAUAUAAGACACAAUUUUUGACAAUGGAUAUCUUGGCUCGCUG